Molecule: long non-coding RNA, 240 nt
Filed under: Sinocyclocheilus anshuiensis
Lineage: Eukaryota; Metazoa; Chordata; Actinopteri; Cypriniformes; Cyprinidae
Description: lncRNA (ENSSANG00000050425.1)
Source: RNAcentral
UAUAUAUUGACUUCAGGGAGUUUAAGUAUGACCUGAAAUGGGAAUUUCCACGAGAAAAUCUUGAGCUUGGGAAUGAGCUGGGAUCUGGAGCUUUUGGGAUGGUUGUACAGGCUACAGCAUAUGGGAUCAGCAAGCCUGGAGUGUCUAUUCAGGUAGCAGUAAAAAUGUUAAAGGACAAGCACCAGGCAGUGGAAAAGGAAGCUCUGAUGUCUGAACUGAAAAUGCUGACUCAUAUUGGAC